GCAAGCGUUGUUCGGAAUUACUGGGCGUAAAGGGCUCGUAGGCGGCCAACUAAGUCAGACGUGAAAUCCCUCGGCUUAACCGGGGAACUGCGUCUGAUACUGGAUGGCUUGAGUUCGGGAGAGGGAUGCGGAAUUCCAGGUGUAGCGGUGAAAUGCGUAGAUAUCUGGAGGAACACCGGUGGCGAAGGCGGCAGCCUGGACCGACACUGACGCUGAGGAGCGAAAGCCAGGGGAGCAAACGGG
RNAcentral lists this ribosomal RNA (243 nucleotides) under uncultured bacterium. RNAcentral describes it as "partial 16S ribosomal RNA". It matches the Rfam family "Bacterial small subunit ribosomal RNA", at positions 534 to 776 of the family's 1533-position model. The record is from RNAcentral.